ACUGGACAGGGGCCGGGACAGCCCACCCCCGGCGCGCUCCCAUAGGCCGGCUGUGAGCACCGCCUGGCGCCGAUUGGUUGUAAAUGGCUACUGAGUCAUUUCAUAGGCGCUCCCACGCACCGGAUGGCGCAGGUAGGCAGUGCGUGAUCAGACACUGGUGACCAAUCGGGAUACGCAGGCGUACACGUGCACAGGCCGCUUAUUGGCUGGGGAAACGCACAGUCCUGGGGCACUGACCAAUAGUGAGGCGGUGCGCCCAUGUGGACAGAUAGUGGGAAACAAUAUUUGUUAGGGAGGGGGCGGAACCGGGAAUCUCCGGCUCGCAGAGUGUCCCCGUUCUCAUGGUUACGAACGGGGGCGGGGUUUUUGGCAGCUUGGGGACUGUUUGCAGAAGUCGCUGGGUUUUUGCAUUGGUAUAUGACGUUGUGACUGCAACUGGCUUGUGUUUAUGAUUUAAUCUGCAGGACUAUGGGGAAAUAGAUACCCUGGAAAAUGGAACUCAGCAAUAAUUCUCCUGUCUGCGGCUGGUCCUGCUGGUCCAGCCCAGCUGGAGCGUGAAGGUGAGAUGCUGACUGCAGGGGAUGAUGGAACAGAGACGCUGAGACGCAACAUCUUGCCCCAUUUUCCCAGCCGCUGCCCCUGGGGCUGAUGCCAAUCCUGCCUGCAUCCGCGUUACAGCAUCAGCGUUAGCUCCGCUGCAACGACUUGUGAAUGAACUGUUAAAAGACUAAGCAGCUCCCAGCAGAAGCAGAGCCCAGCAAUAUGCAGCCUGUUGUCUGUCAGAUGAUACAGUAGCAGUCCCAGUGAGGGGCCCAGCACGCACACCCCAGGAGAGAAAGUCUUGCUGCAUGGGACAUAGGAGAUGCAGAAAAGCCAUCGAAGAGGAGACGCUGAAGCACCAUAUGCUACUGGGCCUUUGUGUGUGUGCGUGCAUGUCAGGGAAGGCGGAGAGACAAACAACAGCAGAAGCUGGCACAAGGCUCAGGCUGGAACAUCCACCAAGAUGAGGCAGGUACUCAAAUGGUCCUGGACGCACGCACUUGCUUUCCUUCUUCAUUUUGGACUAAAAGAAUGUUCUUAAUUUUGGAACAAAGGAACAGCAGCAAAGCAUGCUCAGCCAAAACGAAAGUAAGGAGAGAGGGAAAGGAGCAGAGGACCCAUAUGCUCGUGUUCAUCCAAACAAGCCACGCUUCCUUCUGAAACUGGGGAUAAGCCACACUGUACUGUAACCAGCCAUUGCCUACCAAGUCCUGAUUUCCUUAACCACAUCCUACAAAGUGCCAGGUAAGCGCAGUUCCCCUCAGGGGAACCAUGUUUGUACAAAGGAAGUA
Ailuropoda melanoleuca (giant panda) is the source of this 1331-nucleotide long non-coding RNA. RefSeq lists it as uncharacterized. The record is from RefSeq and is a predicted model, not a curated record. Lineage: Eukaryota; Metazoa; Chordata; Mammalia; Carnivora; Ursidae. The transcript has 3 exons.